This 88-nucleotide ribosomal RNA is filed under the name Staphylococcus chromogenes. The record is from RNAcentral. RNAcentral also lists the same sequence under 1 other name. Lineage: Bacteria; Bacillati; Bacillota; Bacilli; Caryophanales; Staphylococcaceae.
CCUGUUCCCAUGCCGAACACAGAAGUUAAGCUCUUUAGCGCCGAUGGUAGUCGGACUUACGUUCCGCGAGAGUAGGACGUUGCCAAGC